GAUGAACGCUAGCUACAGGCUUAACACAUGCAAGUCGAGGGGUAACGAGAGGGAAGCUUGCUUUCCUUGUCGACGACCGGCGCACGGGUGAGUAACGCGUAUCCAACCUGCCCCCAACUAGGGAAUAACCUUGCGAAAGUAAGACUAAUACCCUAUAAUUUCCUCAGAUGUCAUCUGACGAGGAAUAAAGAUUUAUCGGUUGUGGUUGGGGAUGCGUCUGAUUAGCUUGUUGGCGGGGUAACGGCCCACCAAGGCAACGGUCAGUAGGGGUUCUGAGAGGAAGGUCCCCCACAUUGGAACUGAGACACGGUCCAAACUCCUACGGGAGGCAGCAGUGAGGAAUAUUGGUCAAUGGGCGGAAGCCUGAACCAGCCAAGUAGCGUGCAGGAUGACGGCCCUAUGGGUUGUAAACUGCUUUUAUACAGGAAUAAAGUUAGCCACGUGUGGUUAUUUGUAGGUACUGUAUGAAUAAGGACCGGCUAAUUCCGUGCCAGCCGCCGCCGUAA
Molecule: ribosomal RNA, 506 nt
Filed under: uncultured bacterium
Lineage: Bacteria
Description: partial 16S ribosomal RNA
Rfam family: Bacterial small subunit ribosomal RNA
Source: RNAcentral